GGCCGAUUACAGUUCGUACAGGCCAUAUUGGGAGCCGCGGGGAUUUCGACAGUGUGUAUUAGGAAGUAUACCUACGUCGUGUAUGGAAUAUGUGUUUGCCUACCAUGCCUAGAUAAGGCAGUGUGACAAGGGAUAUCCCAGGGGACGUAAUAUUCCUACAGCAGAAAUGUUUCACAACCUCGUCAAAAUUGGCAGCUGAUGUCAUGCAGGGAGCUGAAGACGUGACAUAUUCAGACAGAGACCAUAUUGCAUAUAGACUGUUACAUGGUCUCUGAUUCAGGUGUCAAGAAUCAAGAACAAAUUAAAUGACAGAAGUUUCGCAACAGUGAACAUAGUGAAGUGGAAGAUAAGACAUUUGAAAGGGCUUGGAUUUCACAAUCUGACACCAGCUACAUUUAAGAAGAUCUUGCUCAGACAUGUCAGACAAGGGACUUGCCGGAUGAUGAACAAUCCUCCCGAUAACAACCAACAGAUUCACCUCAGAAAGUGAUGAUUCUGAAUGAAUAAUGCCACAUCAGUGUGACUAUAGUAUAGUGACUAUAGUAUGACACUAAUCAAGUCUGAAUGAAUUUAUGCCAAAGCACUGUGACUAUGUCCAGGUUGUGUACACCGACGCUGACUAUACAAAUCUGAAUGACUUUUGUGGUUUACUGCUGAAACAUAAUUGACUUUACAUAUUCUUCUUCCAUGAAAUUCUUCUGAGAUUUGACUAAUUUGUUUAUUUAGAAAAUUGCAUUGAAUAGUCUGUUCUGUAAGUUCUUGCAAACACCACUGGUUACUUUAUGCUAGUUCCUCUUCUUGCUUGAUCAAAUUUCAAUUUGUGAUAUGUACCAAUGAAAUGUCAUA
This 846-nucleotide long non-coding RNA is filed under the name Haliotis rufescens (red abalone). Its description in RNAcentral is "uncharacterized LOC124133667". The record is from RNAcentral. Lineage: Eukaryota; Metazoa; Mollusca; Gastropoda; Lepetellida; Haliotidae.